GAGAACUCUUGCUCUGCCUUCUCUCUACCUCUCUAGCAACACAGGUCCUGCUACACACUUUCUUGCUUUUCAUUUUCUGUAGUUUCAUUUUUUUUUUUUUUUUUCUCUCCAGCGACUUUGAAGCCCGUUGCUUCAGGAUGAUUCUUCAUCAGCAUCUGCCGAUUUCAUUUUUCAAUCUUUUGAAUCAUUUUCGAUAAUUCCCUGUGAGCGAUAUUGUUUAAAAAAACCCUAAACAAACCAUGCUUUCAACAACGGAACUCAUUCUAUAAUCCAUAAAUGGAGUACCACAAGUCGUCACAAGAAAUAUGAGCCACAAAUUUAGGAAAAAUCCAUCAUCAAACAACUACGGAUCUGUUUAGAAACGAAGCACCCAUAGUGGUGACAAUGACUCUACGAAAUAGACCUGAGGAAAAUCCAGAUGAGAAAAGCUUCAAUUGUAUAAGACCUGAGGAAAAUCCAGAUGAGAAAAGCUUCAAUUGUAUAAGGUAACCGUAUUUCAUAAGUUGUUUUAAUUUAUGAAAUUUAUUGAUUGUGUUAAAAAAUCAUUUUUUUAAUUUGUCCUUGUUCCACUGACUCUACGAAAUAGACCUGAGGAAAAUCCAGAUGAGAAAAGCUUCAAUUGUAUAAGGUAACCGUAUUUCAUAAGUUGUUUUAAUUUAUGAAAUUUAUUGAUUGUGUUAAAAAAAUCAUUUUUUUAAUUUGUCCCUGUUCUGUUGGUAUAAAAUAUAAAUUUAUAAAGAUUUUGUUAAAAUUUUUAUUUGAAAAUAUUGACCAAUUUAAAGUGUAAUAUAAAUAUAUUUUGAAGUAAUAUAUGUUGCAGAUUUCAGAAAAAAAAAAACAAAAUUCCUUCUAUGAAGCGCACAUGAAUAUCCUUGCAAUAAUUUUUUUAACAUAUCAGUUUGGUCAUUUGUUUAUGUAUUCUUAAGGUAGCCAAAAAAAUGCAUAGUACCUUUAUUUGCAUCUAUUUCCUUCUUCCCUGUGCAGCCUAUGGUAACUGAUCCCUUGAGUGUCUACUGCAUUAUCAAUUUUUGACUUGAUUUCUUGCAACUGAACUUCUUGUACUGCAGUAUGUUUUAAUGCUUUGAAUGCAUUCCUGGUAAAAUGUACCAUAGAUGACCUGCUUAACCUUGAAAAUAUGUACUCCAUGUUGUCGUUUUUUUUUAUUUUUUGGAAAA
Molecule: long non-coding RNA, 1175 nt
Organism: Ipomoea triloba (trilobed morning glory)
Lineage: Eukaryota; Viridiplantae; Streptophyta; Magnoliopsida; Solanales; Convolvulaceae
Exons: 3
Source: RefSeq, a predicted model, not a curated record